This is a long non-coding RNA of Drosophila busckii, 997 nucleotides long. RefSeq lists it as uncharacterized. The transcript is spliced from 3 exons. NCBI's taxonomy places the organism in Eukaryota, Metazoa, Arthropoda, Insecta, Diptera, Drosophilidae. The record is from RefSeq and is a predicted model, not a curated record.
UUAUAUUGCGCUGUCAUUUGGAGUUCUUCAAGGAUAGACUACAUGAAUUGCUAAAUGAAAUGCUCAAUGAGUUUGAUCGCUUGGAACAGCCGCUUAUCUUGGGACUGAAGCAUUUUCUAUUGUUGCUGUAUGUGCUUUGUGCUACUUUGCAUGAUAUACAAUGUGCCGCUGUAAUUGAGCUAAAGACUGCGUCUGCUGAGACGCACUUGGCAUCCUUCAUUAUGAUGGUAUACACGACCAUACUGCUGGCUAUGAGACUCUUGGCGAGCGUAUCCAGCAAAUAUCCCAAGAUGCAAGCGACUUGUGGCAUGCUCAGACAACUAUAGGUGAUCAGCCAUAUUCUCUAUUACAUCGGUUACAUCGCAGGGCCGAGCACGUUGUUACUAUGCGCGAAGGAUUAUCGCGUAUUUCUCAAACACUUGCUCUACACUGUCGUUUCAAUUGGCUGGCCGCAUUUACUUUCACAAUAAUUUUGUUAUUCGUUAAUUUCGCAUACUUAUUUUGGAUUUCUUGGAUGAGCUUUUUCUGUAUUUUUAUGACCUUAACUGCCGAGCCGAAUAUCUCCCGCAGGUUUUGCCAUUUUCAUUUCAUCAACUACCAUUUGAGAUUUGACCGUACCCUUGAACAAUUUUUCUUAUCGGAAAAAAUAGAUGGGUUCCAGAUAAAAAUGUAUGGCAUUGAAGUGAAUAAGAAAUUUGUAUGCAAGGUUUCAACCCUCUGUGUACUCAUUUUAAUUAUAGUAGCAAAAUCAUCCGGAAUUAAAUAUAAUAAAUGUACUACCGAGCCACUAGUAUCAAAUCAAGACGUGGAUGUUGAAUCAAUCUUUAAGCAAUAUAAAGCUGUGAAAAAUAGAACCUAUACAUAAACAAAUUAAAAUCAAUACGUAAAAUGUUCGUUUACAGCAACUGACUAUCAAAACAGCAAUUAAGAAGGCACAAAAUCAGGAGAUUAAAUUUUAGCAAAAAUAACUUAAUUUUUGAUUCUGCACUGAAUGAAA